This 253-nucleotide ribosomal RNA is filed under the name uncultured bacterium. RNAcentral describes it as "partial 16S ribosomal RNA". It matches the Rfam family "Bacterial small subunit ribosomal RNA", at positions 524 to 776 of the family's 1533-position model. The record is from RNAcentral.
UACGUAGGGCGCAAGCGUUGUCCGGAAUUAUUGGGCGUAAAGAGCUCGUAGGCGGCCUGUUGCGUCCGCUGUGAAAUCCCGGGGCUCAACCCCGGGCCUGCAGUGGAUACGGGCUGGCUAGAGGCAGGCAGGGGAGAACGGAAUUCCUGGUGUAGCGGUGAAAUGCGCAGAUAUCAGGAGGAACACCUGUGGUGUAGACAGCUUACUGGACCAUUUCUGACGCUGAGACACGAAAGCGUGGGUAGCAAACAGG